CGCCUGGGGAGUACGGCCGCAAGGUUAAAACUCAAAUGAAUUGACGGGGGCCCGCACAAGCGGUGGAGCAUGUGGUUUAAUUCGAUGCAACGCGAAGAACCUUACCUGGUCUUGACAUCCACGGAAGUUUUCAGAGAUGAGAAUGUGCCUUCGGGAACCGUGAGACAGGUGCUGCAUGGCUGUCGUCAGCUCGUGUUGUGAAAUGUUGGGUUAAGUCCCGCAACGAGCGCAACCCUUAUCCUUUGUUGCCAGCGGUCCGGCCGGGAACUCAAAGGAGACUGCCAGUGAUAAACUGGAGGAAGGUGGGGAUGACGUCAAGUCAUCAUGGCCCUUACGACCAGGGCUACACACGUGCUACAAUGGCGCAUACAAAGAGAAGCGACCUCGCGAGAGCAAGCGGACCUCAUAAAGUGCGUCGUAGUCCGGAUUGGAGUCUGCAACUCGACUCCAUGAAGUCGGAAUCGCUAGUAAUCGUGGAUCAGAAUGCCACGGUGAAUACGUUCCCGGGCCUUGUACACACCGCCCGUCACACCAUGGGAGUGGGUUGCAAAAGAAGUAGGUAGCUUAACCUUCGGGAGGG
This 580-nucleotide ribosomal RNA is filed under the name Escherichia coli. RNAcentral's name for it is "bacterial SSU rRNA". It matches the Rfam family "Bacterial small subunit ribosomal RNA", at positions 870 to 1450 of the family's 1533-position model. The record is from RNAcentral. Lineage: Bacteria; Pseudomonadati; Pseudomonadota; Gammaproteobacteria; Enterobacterales; Enterobacteriaceae.